UCGGAAUCACUGGGCGUAAAGGACGCGUAGGCGGGCUUGUAAGUCAGAUGUGAAAUCCAAUGGCUCAACCAUUGAACUGCAUUUGAAACUACGAGUCUAGAGUAUGGGAGGGGGAGAUGGAAUUAGUGGUGUAGGGGUAAAAUCCGUAGAUAUCACUAGGAAUACCGAAAGCGAAGGCGAUCUCCUGGAACAUUACUGACGCUAAGGCGUGAAAGCGUGGGGAGCAAACGGGAUUAGAUACCCCGGUAGUCCACGCCCUAAACGAUGAACACUAGUCGUCGGGAUGCUUGUCAUCUCGGUGAUGCACUUAACAGAUUAAGUGUUCCGCC
RNAcentral lists this ribosomal RNA (329 nucleotides) under uncultured Campylobacterota bacterium. Its description in RNAcentral is "bacterial SSU rRNA". It matches the Rfam family "Bacterial small subunit ribosomal RNA", at positions 545 to 873 of the family's 1533-position model. The record is from RNAcentral. Lineage: Bacteria; Pseudomonadati; Campylobacterota.